AUGCUGCUAUGGACUACACUGACAGAAGCCCAGGAGCUAGAAGAGGUGGCUGAGAGCGUGCUCGAGGAAGUGCUGGAGAGGGUGAAAGAGCUGGAGCAGUCGGUCCGCGUUUUAAGGAGGGCUCCCCUGGCAAUCAGUGGAAGGUUGUUUGGUAGAGCUAGAAGGGCAGAGCUUUCCGAGGCGCCUCCUCCAGAUCUCUGGGAGGAAAUUUGGCUGGUGGCUAGAGAGAUUGCAGCAACCCUUUUGGAUCACUUGGGGAAGCGAGGGGCAUGCAGCACAUCAGACGCCUCUGAGGCCAGGCUGUCGGCCAGGUGGAGGCAGCAGCGCAUUGCCACAGGAGCCACGCGAGCUGGCAAAUGGGGAGAAAGCAGAGCGAGGCAAGCUGAAUUCCCAAGGCUUGACGGAGCAGCUUCUCUGCCGUCUCUUGACCAAAUCGCCAAAGAUGCUGUUGAGAGCAUUGGAGCCACCUUGCAAUCGUUUGUAGCGUCUCAAUUUGAGUAUCGCUUCCACUGUAAAUUUUCUGAAAUCCUGAAGCUGCCCRCUGAGACUGUUUCUAAGAGACAACCGCAGCCACCCCAGACACCUUCCUCAAGCCAGGUCAUGAAAGAAGGAGGAUCACCUAGAGCAUCUGAACAUCGGACACCAGAAGCCGCCAGCUUGCUCGUGUUGCAACCCUUCCAAAAUGCUGCGGAGGUAUCCCGAGAGAGUAGCACGCUUGCAGGGGAGAGCAUCCCAAAUGCAAUUUCCAAAGUUCAGCAGCUCCMCUCAGAAUUAAAAGUGUAUGCUGAGACCAUUGUCCAUGAUGCUCUUGAAAURCUGAAGAAGAAGAAGAAGUUAGAAGAAGAAAGGCGUGCAAAGGCAAGAGCCUCACAAGACAGUUCAGAAGAAAGCACCGUGGAGAGCGGGCUAGUGGAGCGGCUAGGAGAGCAGCACGGUCGGCYUCUGACUGCAGUAGCUUCAGGAGUGAAUUGUGCAAGGCGGGCGGCAAAACAGCCCAGCCGGAGAGAUGGGAACAGCAGCAAUGCGGGGCAGGGCUUUCUAAGGCCAGAAGGAAAGAAAACUCCUGCUGGAAAAUUAGAGGAGAGUCAACCAAGAACAAAGCUCCCACCUAUCACCAUCCCCGGARUGGUCAUGCCUUCAGAGGACGAAGCAGAAUCUGAAGAAUCUCAAGAGGAACUGUCACCUAAUCUCCUCCCACCUGUCCUGCAAAGCUCCGAGCAAGAUGCUCAGAGCACACCAGAAGGCGUGCAGAAGCCCCUCGAUCACCCCUCGGCACCCRCAUCAAGACCUUGUGCUCCAGUGCUGGAAAGCCCGUCCCGCCAUCAGCUCCAAAGCCCCCUUCCCAGAGAGGGGCCCGGCGGAGAGCCACGCGCGUAAAGCCUCYGACGGGCAAGAGCGAGCCAGGCGAGUGCUGAGAGAGGCCACUGGCUGSGUGGCUGCUGGGGGCUGAGCUGAGGAGGUGUGUGGCUCCGGCCUUCAGAGCUGCUUCUCACACCGGUGCUGAGAAGUAACGGCCAGCAAGAGAAGCGAGGGAGUUUGCUCAGACUCUUGAACAGUCCGUGGGGAAAAGAACAUGCACAAAGCACAUGGCAGAGGGCUGCGCUCCACCUCVCUCCUGCUGCCUUUGCCGGGCCGGGGAAGGCUCGGCACCCUGUGGCGCUCACGGCCCUGUGCUUCCCUGCCUGCCUCCCUCGGAGCCGCAGGGGCUGCCGAUGGUGCGACUCGCGCGUCAGUGCAGAAGAGGCCUCGCCGCGUGGCACAGCCCCUCCGGCUGCCCUCCCAAGGAUCUUCCAGCAUAGCUGCUGCCCAGAGCCGCAGAGCCCCCGGGGAGCGGAGCCCCCUGCCCCCCCGCGCCUCCUCCCUUCCCCGCGCCUCCCCAGCAGAGAAUAAAGGCUUUACUUSCAAGCGCUGCUCUUGCCUC
This 1921-nucleotide long non-coding RNA is filed under the name Apteryx haastii (Great spotted kiwi). Its description in RNAcentral is "lncRNA (ENSAHAG00000001696.1)". The record is from RNAcentral. Lineage: Eukaryota; Metazoa; Chordata; Aves; Apterygiformes; Apterygidae.